UGGGGAAUAUUGCACAAUGGGCGCAAGCCUGAUGCAGCCAUGCCGCGUGUGUGAAGAAGGCCUUCGGGUUGUAAAGCACUUUCAGCGGGGAGGAAGGCGAUAAGGUUAAUAACCUCAUCGAUUGACGUUACCCGCAGAAGAAGCACCGGCUAACUCCGUGCCAGCAGCCGCGGUAAUACGGAGGGUGCAAGCGUUGUCCGGAUUUAUUGGGCGUAAAGCGAGCGCAGGCGGUUUCUUAAGUCUGAUGUGAAAGCCCCCGGCUCAACCGGGGAGGGUCAUUGGAAACUGGGAGACUUGAGUGCAGAAGAGGAGAGUGGAAUUCCAUGUGUAGCGGUGAAAUGCGUAGAUAUAUGGAGGAACACCAGUGGCGAAGGCGGCUCUCUGGUCUGUAACUGACGCUGAGGCUCGAAAGCGUGGGGAGCAAACAGG
RNAcentral lists this ribosomal RNA (429 nucleotides) under Chloroflexota bacterium. RNAcentral's name for it is "Chloroflexi bacterium partial 16S ribosomal RNA". It matches the Rfam family "Bacterial small subunit ribosomal RNA", at positions 355 to 776 of the family's 1533-position model. The record is from RNAcentral. Lineage: Bacteria; Bacillati; Chloroflexota.